RNAcentral lists this long non-coding RNA (1061 nucleotides) under Chinchilla lanigera (long-tailed chinchilla). Its description in RNAcentral is "lncRNA (ENSCLAG00000025110.1)". Lineage: Eukaryota; Metazoa; Chordata; Mammalia; Rodentia; Chinchillidae. The record is from RNAcentral.
CGCUUCCCGCGGGGCCUCAGCCCACCCGGGCGCCUCCAGAGCCGCCGCGAUGACCUGGCCCCCGGCCCGGGCCUGGCGCCCUCGGCCACCCUGGUGUCGCUCUCAUCCGUGUCCGACUGCAACUCCACGCGUUCGCUGCUGCGCUCCGACAGCGACGAGGCCGGGCCGGCUGCGCCCUCCCCGCCCUCGCCCUCUCCCUCGCCUUUGCCCUCGCCCUCGGCCUCACCCGGCACCAACCCCCUGGUGGACCUGGAGCUGGAGAGCUUCAAGAAGGACCCCCGCCAGUCGCUCACGCCCACCCACGUCACGGCCGCGCGCGCUGUGAGCCGAGGACAUCGGCGGACGCCGUCGGACGGGGCGCUGGGGCAGCGGGGGCCUCCGGAGCCCGCGGGCCACGGCCCUGGCCCUCGGGACCCCCUGGACUUUCCCCGCCUGCCUGACCCCCAGGCCCUGUUCCCUACCCGUCGCCGGCCCCCUGAGUUCCCUGGCCGCCCCACCACCCUGACCUUCGCCCCAAGACCCCGGCCAGCUGCCAGCCGCCCCCGCCUGGACCCCUGGAAACUGGUCUCCUUCGGGCGGACGCUCAGCAUAUCACCUCCUAGCAGGCCAGACACCCCGGAGAGCCCAGGGCCGCCCAGCGUGCAGCCCACGCUGCUGGACAUGGACAUGGAGGGACAGAGCCAGGACAACACAGUGCCCCUCUGUGGGGCCCAGGGCCCCCCCUGAGGCCUGCCCCCCACCGCCCGCCUGGGCAGCCAUGAAUGUAGCGCCCCAGGCCCCGCCCCAGCCUGCCGUGCCCCAAGGCGCAAAGGCCCUGGGCAGGAUGCUCACUAUUUAUUGGGGAAGGAGGGAGGGAGGGACUCUUAAUUUAUUCCUUUGUACCCCAGGGGUGGGGCUCUGUGCCCACCCUGCUGUGGGGGGGAGGGCGGGCAGGGAUACUCAGGGACAGGGCAACGUGGGGGAUUUGGCACAAGAUGAAGCAUUAAAGGUAACCCCUGCCCCCUACCGCGCUUGGCUGUGUGUCUUUCCCCAGUCUAGGCCCUGAUGCAAGCCUGUCCCCA